CUACGGGCUGCAGCAGUGGGGAAUUUUGCUCAAUGGGGGUAACCCUGACGCAGCAACGCCGCGUGGAGGACGAAGGCUCUUGGGUCGUAAACUCCUGUCAGCAGGGAAGAAACCAUUCAUGGCUAAUAUCCAUGAGUAUUGACGGUACCUGCAGAGGAAGCACCGGGUAACUACGUGCCAGCAGCCGCGGUAAUACGUAGGGUGCAAGCGUUGUGUCGGAAUCAUUGGGCGUAAAGCGUACGUAGGCGGGCUCGCAAGUCAGGUGUGAAAGCCCACAGCUUAACUGUGGAACUGCGCUUGAAACUGCAAGUCUGGAGGAUGGUAGAGGCAAGUAGAAUUCCUGGUGUAGAGGUGAAAUUCGUAGAUAUCAGGAGGAACACCAGUGGCGAAGGCGACUUCCUGGACCAAGACUGACACUGAGGUGCGAAAGCGUGGGUAGCAAACAGGAUUAGAUACCCUUGUAGUC
Molecule: ribosomal RNA, 466 nt
Filed under: uncultured bacterium
Lineage: Bacteria
Description: partial 16S ribosomal RNA
Rfam family: Bacterial small subunit ribosomal RNA
Source: RNAcentral